UACGUAGGGACCGAGCGUUGUCCGGAAUCAUUGGGCGUAAAGAGCGUGUAGGCGGCCGUACAGGUCAGCUGUGAAAACUCGAGGCUCAACCUCGAGACGUCGGUUGAAACCGUACGGCUAGAGUCCGGAAGAGGAGAGUGGAAUUCCCGGUGUAGCGGUGAAAUGCGCAGAUAUCGGGAAGAACACCCGUGGCGAAGGCGGCUCUCUGGGACGGUACUGACGCUGAGACGCGAAAGCGUGGGGAGCAAACAGG
RNAcentral lists this ribosomal RNA (253 nucleotides) under uncultured bacterium. RNAcentral describes it as "partial 16S ribosomal RNA". It matches the Rfam family "Bacterial small subunit ribosomal RNA", at positions 524 to 776 of the family's 1533-position model. The record is from RNAcentral.